Molecule: ribosomal RNA, 482 nt
Filed under: uncultured bacterium
Lineage: Bacteria
Description: partial 16S ribosomal RNA
Rfam family: Bacterial small subunit ribosomal RNA
Source: RNAcentral
AUUGAACGCUGGCGGCAUGCCUUACACAUGCAAGUCGAACGGUAACAGGUCUUCGGAUGCUGACGAGUGGCGAACGGGUGAGUAAUACAUCGGAACGUGCCCGAUCGUGGGGGAUAACGAGGCGAAAGCUUUGCUAAUACCGCAUACGAUCUACGGAUGAAAGCGGGGGAUCUUCGGACCUCGCGCGGACGGAGCGGCCGAUGGCAGAUUAGGUAGUUGGUGGGAUAAAAGCUUACCAAGCCGACGAUCUGUAGCUGGUCUGAGAGGAUGAUCCGCCACACUGGGACUGAGACACGGCCCAGACUCCUACGGGAGGCAGCAGUGGGGAAUUUUGGACAAUGGGCGAAAGCCUGAUCCAGCCAUGCCGCGUGCAGGAUGAAGGCCUUCGGGUUGUAAACUGCUUUUGUACGGAACGAAAAGCCUCUUUCUAAUAAAGAGGGGUCAUGACGGUACCGUAAGAAUAAGCACCGGCUAACUACGUG